This 484-nucleotide ribosomal RNA is filed under the name uncultured streptomycete. RNAcentral describes it as "bacterial SSU rRNA". It matches the Rfam family "Bacterial small subunit ribosomal RNA", at positions 163 to 656 of the family's 1533-position model. Lineage: Bacteria; Bacillati; Actinomycetota; Actinomycetes; Kitasatosporales. The record is from RNAcentral.
CUAAUACCGGAUAUGACACACGGCCGCAUGGUCUGUGUGUGGAAAGCUCCGGCGGUGCAGGAUGAGCCCGCGGCCUAUCAGCUUGUUGGUGGGGUGAUGGCCUACCAAGGCGACGACGGGUAGCCGGCCUGAGAGGGCGACCGGCCACACUGGGACUGAGACACGGCCCAGACUCCUACGGGAGGCAGCAGUGGGGAAUAUUGCACAAUGGGCGCAAGCCUGAUGCAGCGACGCCGCGUGAGGGAUGACGGCCUUCGGGUUGUAAACCUCUUUCAGCAGGGAAGAAGCUUUUAUCGGUGACGGUACCUGCAGAAGAAGCACCGGCUAACUACGUGCCAGCAGCCGCGGUAAUACGUAGGGUGCGAGCGUUGUCCGGAAUUAUUGGGCGUAAAGAGCUCGUAGGCGGCUUGUCACGUCGGAUGUGAAAGCCCGGGGCUUAACCCCGGGUCUGCAUUCGAUACGGGCAGGCUAGAGUUCGGUAGGG